RNAcentral lists this long non-coding RNA (379 nucleotides) under Sorghum bicolor (sorghum). Its description in RNAcentral is "long non-coding RNA (SBIC_LNC005689)". Lineage: Eukaryota; Viridiplantae; Streptophyta; Magnoliopsida; Poales; Poaceae. The record is from RNAcentral.
UCGGACGCGACUGGUAGGGCGUCCUCCUCCACCACCUCGCCCUUGGCGAUGUCGUGCGCGACGGGUAUGGCGUGCUCCUCCGCCACCUCGACCGUGGGCUGCGGCUCGUCGGACACGGUAAGGGGAUCCCGCGCGACGCCGUCGAGAUGUGGAGCCUGGCCGUCCAUACCGGAGUGCAGGGCGUCCUCCACCUCGACAGGACGCGGCGGGUGGAGCUCGUCGCCGGCUGCAAGGGGCUCGGGCACGACGGCGUCGAGAAGAGGUGGAGCCUGGCCGUCCAUUCCGGUGGGGGAGAUCAGGGGAGCCGAGGCGCCGCCGCCGCUCGUAGUCGUCGGCUGGCGGCGGCUUCGGGCGGAGGCGUGCGGCCGCGGUCUCGAGG